GCAGUCGAACGGUGACGGAGGAGCUUGCUCCUCCUGAUCAGUGGCGAACGGGUGAGUAACACGUGGGCAACCUGCCCCUAGCUCUGGGAUAAGCCCGGGAAACCGGGUCUAAUACCGGAUACGAGAUCGGAAGGCAUCUUCUGAUUUGGAAAGUUUCUCGGCUAGGGAUGGGCCCGCGGCCUAUCAGCUUGUUGGUGGGGUAACGGCCUACCAAGGCGACGACGGGUAGCCGGCCUGAGAGGGCGACCGGCCACACUGGGACUGAGACACGGCCCAGACUCCUACGGGAGGCAGCAGUGGGGAAUAUUGCACAAUGGGCGAAAGCCUGAUGCAGCGACGCCGCGUGAGGGAUGACGGCCUUCGGGUUGUAAACCUCUUUCAGCAGGGAAGAAGCGAAAGUGACGGUACCUGUAGAAGAAGCGCCGGCUAACUACGUGCCA
This 440-nucleotide ribosomal RNA is filed under the name uncultured bacterium. RNAcentral's name for it is "bacterial SSU rRNA". It matches the Rfam family "Bacterial small subunit ribosomal RNA", at positions 57 to 510 of the family's 1533-position model. The record is from RNAcentral.